AGUCCUGUAGCUCAGUGGUUAGAGCACUCGCCUCCCAAGCGAGAGGACCUGGGUUUGAUUCCCGGGCAGGACGA
RNAcentral lists this transfer RNA (74 nucleotides) under Callorhinchus milii (elephant shark). RNAcentral describes it as "tRNA-Gly (CCC) (tRNA-Gly-CCC-20-1)". It matches the Rfam family "tRNA". From Rfam's summary of the family: Transfer RNA (tRNA) molecules are approximately 80 nucleotides in length. The record is from Rfam by way of RNAcentral. Lineage: Eukaryota; Metazoa; Chordata; Chondrichthyes; Chimaeriformes; Callorhinchidae.